This 23-nucleotide non-coding RNA is filed under the name Mus musculus (house mouse). RNAcentral also lists the same sequence under 1 other name. Lineage: Eukaryota; Metazoa; Chordata; Mammalia; Rodentia; Muridae. The record is from RNAcentral.
UAGAGACAACAAAAGUGACAGCC